Molecule: long non-coding RNA, 333 nt
Organism: Erpetoichthys calabaricus (reedfish)
Lineage: Eukaryota; Metazoa; Chordata; Cladistia; Polypteriformes; Polypteridae
Exons: 2
Source: RefSeq, a predicted model, not a curated record
CAAAUAUACAAAUUGUGUUAGCAAAAUUCCUUUCUAAUGUUAAACAACCACUGCACAACGUAUUCAGUAUGGACUGUUCUGAGAGUAUGGUGCAAUGGCACAAGUAUUAUAAUUGUACAAAACCAAUUAAGCAUUCAGUCAAAGGUUAAAGUGUUCAUUCUAAUAUUUAACAUAAAUUCAAUUAAUCUAUUUUCCAACCUUCUUAAUCCAAUCUCAGAUUUGCAGGCUAAUUAACUUCUGGAAUUAAAAUAAUUUCUGAUUAGCCCAGAAUUAAAUGUAUGAUAUUGCAUGACAGGCAACAACCUGCAUAUAUCACAAAUUCUGUACUGGGAU